CAUAAUAUCUUAGAGCCCCUCCUAUCCGAUCGACGCGCCAUCUAGCGCUGCGUGAUCAAUGCGUAUCGAGUGGGUAGUUACAGCUUGAAGCAUUUGCUUCCUCUUCGUCUAAAAGGAAUGCACGCGAAUCCAAUUAGACCCACAAUUCCAAAAUUUCUCUGCAACGAAGCGUGCGCGUAGCGUGCCAGUAACCUGAUGGAUGCCCGAGGACUCAGGGAGGCGACUCUAACACAAUCUCUAGCCAGCGAAUGCUCAGUGAAAAAUGCGUCCGCGGUGAUUCCGUCACUUCGAGGCUAGAAUCUGCACGCUGGCUGUUCACCCUCACACUCUGCUGCUUCUUCGCGUUCUGAGCCCAAGUCACCAGGCUCUCUCGGACAUUCUCCUCGAAUACCGUUUGCUUGAAAUGA
This is a long non-coding RNA of Zingiber officinale, 407 nucleotides long. RefSeq lists it as uncharacterized. The record is from RefSeq and is a predicted model, not a curated record. Lineage: Eukaryota; Viridiplantae; Streptophyta; Magnoliopsida; Zingiberales; Zingiberaceae. The transcript is spliced from 3 exons.